CUGGGCUGAGCCCGGGCUAGGAAAUGAGUGCCCAUGAGAUAGCAGUGGGAAGAGUUUCACCUCCUGGGAGCUUCACUGCAAAGUAAAAGGAGGAAGGUGUGGCAGUAAAGAGCAAAAGAGAGGGAGCCAAGAGAGGAGAUGACUGCACAGCCCUGGGUGCACCCGCGUGGCCCUCUUGCAACUGUACCAGCCCAGGUAGGCCGUUUUCCUGCCCUGCCAGAAGGAGCAAAAUUGAACAGUGGUCUGGAGAGCUAUCUGUUCUGACCGUUAGUCAAACACUGGGAGCCAGUUAGACCUAAUUGUCUUUGAAACAUCUGAAAACCAAACACACUUUUGGAGGUCAGGCUGUACAGCUGAAAAGGAGGCAGAGGUAGCUGGGAUGAAAAUGAAGGCAUAAUAGGUUCAUAUAGCUGGUGUGAAAAUUAGCUUAAGGGGUCUCCUUACGUUGCUUUCUUAAUGAUGUGAAACACAAUAAUGGCUUUGGCCAUAAUAAAGAUGAAUUACUUUUUUUUCCUGAAAAAUAAUGAAACUUUGGUAAACAUCCUAGGUUUAUCACUUAAUUUAUCCCCAGCUCAGGGGGAAAGAAAGACAGAGCAAGGGAGAGAUCUCUCCCGAACCCAGCCCCCAUUUUUAAUAUUCCAAGCUAUUAGAUUUCAAUAACCCACUCUCCUGCAUGUGUGUCUCAUUUCCCUGGACAGACCAAAUAGGCAAUAACAGGCUCUCGGUUAGAACACUAAUGUUGUAAUUUAGACCUUCUGUCAAGAUGAAAGAUCUGUGCUAGGAUCCUCUGAGGGCCCACAGCAGCACUUCAACCAAGGCCCGGAUAAUGAAGUUUUCAUUAUUAAAUAAAGAUAUUUUAGGAAUGUCAUAAACCAUAAAUCCACUGUCUUCUAUUGCCCUGCCACCUUACUGUGUUUAUUUCUAGUGAAACUCUAUCCUCUUUUGACCCCCCACCCCAACUCCUCGAAAUUCGGCAUUUCUUGCCUUUCGACUCCCUAAUCCCACUGUGAUUCAUUCAAGUCGCUGUUGUGACAGGAGAGUGUCUUCUCCCACGUUCAGACCCACAGGCUUCAAAAGAAGAAAGUGCGUGUGGAGAGCAUCAGACACAGUGCUCAAGACAUCCGGAAUCUCGCAGUUCACAGAGCGGGCCCCACCAUUCUCUUUGCCUGACUGUAGAAAUGGCAGCAUGGAUGACAAGGGACCUUGCUUCAGGGACAGACUCAAUGGCUGACUCUUCUAAACGUGAUGUGAAGCAGAAUUCACUGACAUAUGUAAUGGUUUAUGGUCUAAAAUUGUUACAAGGGAAACAUGCAAUAGGCACCCCUACCACCUCAGAGAUUGGCUUUGUUACUAGACAGCAUUAGUCAAAAUGUCUUCUAUGAAAAUCCAGUCCUUUGGGAUGUUAAAGGAUGUCAUAGUGAUAGGGUUCGAGAUGAUUUACCCCAAAACAUGGCAUGUUGGCAUUUGAGAAAAUAAAAAAAGCAGGCAGUUCUGACUGAAGCAAACCUUAAAGUAAUUCUCUGAACUUCCCCUAAAAUGAGUCAGAAGACCCUCAUCCCAGAAGGGUCCUCUCCAUACCUGCAAAAAAAAAGAAAAAAAAAAAGGGAAUGGAGCCACUGAAACACAGAAAAGAAUCUGAAAACCCCCAGGCUUUGCUAAGUUCCCUCCUGUUUAUUUCCAUUUGGUCAGACCCUUCUGUCCUCCAAUCAUACUUCUGCACGGUAGUCCAUAAAAAUACAGUUUCUCUGUUUCCUUGGUUUUUUAUUUCUGAAGGCUCUCAGGUCACAUAAUACUUUAAUAAAAAGGAAAAAAUUAUUAAAUGCAUAUGCUUUCUUUUAUUAUAGGUGUCUCAGCUAUGAACCUUGCAAUGGAUGGAGGAAAAGGGUGUACUUCCUUUCACCCACCACAGGAGGUUAACCAGGUUUCUUUACUACAGGGUUUCUCAGAGCUCUGUACAUGCUAACAUACUGUCUGACUCUCCACGUGAGGAGAAUGGAAGGAUUCCACAUUAUCCACAGAUCGACUUUUGUCCUGGAGCACUGAGGGACUGAUGUUUGGCAAGCUCUGGGAAACACAGAGCAGAGAUCAGUCUAGGAGCCUAAUCUGCAUGCUUACAUCAGGAAGUUUGGAAAGUGAGGGUCGUCCACUAGGACUUUGUGCAUGAAGAUCCCUCAGCAUCAUGGGAGAAAUGCUGAGGAGGACUUGGAGGCUCAUAGGUGAGCACAGGACACAGGAAGCUAAAGUAACAAACAAGACACAGCAAAAACAAAACAAAAUACCUCUGGUCCCACAUCCCAGAAGACAUGACUUGAAUGGGCUGGAAACAUGUCAGCCGAAGCAGGAAGGAGCGGAUGAGCUGAUUUUCAGCUUGUCGGGAAAGCCUCUGUAUAUUAUUUGAUGCUUUGAUAAUCUCAUCUAAUAAGACCAGGGCUCCAGUCAUUAGGCUCCCUGAGAGUCUCGUAGCUCACACCACACUCCCUGUUUCCUAGAUCCCACAUCACCCUGCUUCCUUGAGUUUGCCCGCCCAAUUUGCUGGCAUCCAUAACUUGGAAGGACACAGAAGUGUAUUUUCUAAUCCCUUCAAUGUCUAGAAAUACUUUUGUUUACCCUCACAACUGGUGGGUUGGUGUCUGAGUCUAGAUUAGAAAUCUAGAUUUUAAAAUAUUUUUCUUCAAAAUAUGGAUCUCUUUUCUCCAUUGCCCACUGGCAUCAGUGUUGCUGCCGAGAAUCCAAAGCCAAUCUACUUCUCUCCCCUGAAGUGAGGUUUGUUUGCUCAUACACUGGAUUGUGGAUUUUCUUUUUAAAUUUAUUUAUUUGAAAGGCAGAGUUACAGCAUCUUCUGCUGCUUUCCCAGGUGCAUCAGCAGGGAGCUGGAUGGGAAGUAGAGCAGCCGGGUCCUGAACCAACACUCACAUGGGAUGCUGGCAUCACAGGUAGUGGCUUACCUUGCUAGACCACAACGCUGGCCCCUUCAUCUUCUGAAAUUCUGUAUGAGUCUAAUCUGGACUU
This is a non-coding RNA of Oryctolagus cuniculus (rabbit), 3009 nucleotides long. The record is from RefSeq and is a predicted model, not a curated record. Lineage: Eukaryota; Metazoa; Chordata; Mammalia; Lagomorpha; Leporidae.